RNAcentral lists this ribosomal RNA (460 nucleotides) under uncultured bacterium. Its description in RNAcentral is "partial 16S ribosomal RNA". It matches the Rfam family "Bacterial small subunit ribosomal RNA", at positions 338 to 795 of the family's 1533-position model. The record is from RNAcentral.
CCUACGGGAGGCAGCAGUGAGGAAUAUUGGUCAAUGGACGCAAGUCUGAACCAGCCAUGCCGCGUGCAGGAAGACUGCUCUAUGAGUUGUAAACUGCUUUUGUACUGGGGUAAACGCAGAUACGCGUAUCUGUCUGAAAGUAUCGUACGAAUAAGGCUCGGCUAACUCCGUGCCAGCAGCCGCGGUACUACGGAGGAUUCAAGCGUUAUCCGGAUUUAUUGGGUUUAAAGGGAGCGUAGGCGGUCGGAUAAGUUAGAGGUGAAAUCCUGAGGCUCAACUUAGGAAUUGCCAUUGAUACUGGUAGGCUAGAGAGUAGUUGAGGUAGGCGGAAUGCAUGGUGUAGCGGUGAAAUGCUUAGAGAUCAUACAGAACACCGAUUGCGAAGGCAGCUUACUAAGCUACUUCUGACGUUGAGGCACGAAAGCGUGGGUAUCAAACAGGAUUAGAUACCCUUGUAGUC